GUGGCUGUAGCUCAGUUGGUAGAGCACCAGAUUGUGGAUCUGGGGGUCGCCGGUUCAAGCCCGGUUAGCCACCCCA
RNAcentral lists this transfer RNA (76 nucleotides) under Bifidobacteriaceae bacterium. RNAcentral's name for it is "tRNA-His". It matches the Rfam family "tRNA". From Rfam's summary of the family: Transfer RNA (tRNA) molecules are approximately 80 nucleotides in length. Their secondary structure includes four short double-helical elements and three loops (D, anti-codon, and T loops). The record is from RNAcentral. Lineage: Bacteria; Bacillati; Actinomycetota; Actinomycetes; Bifidobacteriales; Bifidobacteriaceae.